CCUACGGGUGGCAGCAGUGGGGAAUAUUGCACAAUGGGGGAAACCCUGAUGCAGCGACGCCGCGUGAGUGAAGAAGGACCUCGUUGUGUAAAGCUCUGUCAGCAGGGAAGAAAAUGACGGUACCUGAGGAAGAAGCCCCGGCUAACUACGUGCCAGCAGCCGCGGUAAUACGUAGGGGGCAAGCGUUAUCCGGAUUUACUGGGUGUAAAGGGAGCGUAGACGGCAAUGCAAGUCAGGAGUGAAAGGCCGGGGCUCAACCCCGGGACUGCUCUGGAAACUGUACGGCUGGAGUGCAGGAGGGGUAAGUGGAAUUCCUGGUGUAGCGGUGAAAUGCGUAGAUAUUAGGAGGAACACCAGUGGCGAAGGCGGCUUGCUGGACUGCAACUGACGUUGAGGCUCGAAAGCGUGGGGAGCAAACAGGAUUAGAUACCCUGGUAGUC
This 440-nucleotide ribosomal RNA is filed under the name uncultured bacterium. RNAcentral describes it as "partial 16S ribosomal RNA". It matches the Rfam family "Bacterial small subunit ribosomal RNA", at positions 338 to 795 of the family's 1533-position model. The record is from RNAcentral.